Molecule: ribosomal RNA, 496 nt
Filed under: uncultured bacterium
Lineage: Bacteria
Description: partial 16S ribosomal RNA
Rfam family: Bacterial small subunit ribosomal RNA
Source: RNAcentral
AUGAACGCUGGCGGCGUGCCUAAUACAUGCCAGUCGAGCGAACGGACGAGAAGCUUGCUUCUCUGAUGUUAGCGGCGGGCGGGUGAGUAACACGUGGAUAACCUACCUAUAAGACUGGGAUAACUUCGGGAAACCGGAGCUAAUACCGGAUAAUAUUUUGAACCGCAUGGUUCAAAAGUGAAAGACGGUCUUGCUGUCACUUAUAGAUGGAUCCGCGCUGCAUUAGCUAGUUGGUAAGGUAACGGCUUACCAAGGCAACGAUGCAUAGCCGACCUGAGAGGGUGAUCGGCCACACUGGAACUGAGACACGGUCCAGACUCCUACGGGAGGCAGCAGUAGGGAAUCUUCCGCAAUGGGCGAAAGCCUGACGGAGCAACGCCGCGUGAGUGAUGAAGGUCUUCGGAUCGUAAAACUCUGUUAUUAGGGAAGAACAUAUGUGUAAGUAACUGUGCACAUCUUGACGGUACCUAAUCAGAAAGCCACGGCUAACUACGUG